CAGAGAUUUCCGAAUGGGGAAACCCAGCAUGAGUUAUGUCAUGUUAUCGAUAUGUGAAUACAUAGCAUAUCAGAAGGCACACCCGGAGAACUGAAACAUCUUAGUACCCGGAGGAAGAGAAAGAAAAUUCGAUUCCCUUAGUAGCGGCGAGCGAAACGGGAAGAGCCCAAACCAACAAGCUUGCUUGUUGGGGUUGUAGGACACUCUAUACGGAGUUACAAAGGACGACAUUAGACGAAUCAUCUGGAAAGAUGAAUCAAAGAAGGUAAUAAUCCUGUAGUCGAAAAUGUUGUCUCUCUUGAGUGGAUCCUGAGUACGACGGAGCACGUGAAAUUCCGUCGGAAUCUGGGAGGACCAUCUCCUAAGGCUAAAUACUCUCUAGUGACCGAUAGUGAACCAGUACCGUGAGGGAAAGGUGAAAAGCACCCCGGAAGGGGAGUGAAAUAGAACCUGAAACCGUGUGCUUACAAGUAGUCAGAGCCCGUUAAUGGGUGAUGGCGUGCCUUUUGUAGAAUGAACCGGCGAGUUACGAUUUGAUGCAAGGUUAAGCAGUAAAUGUGGAGCCGUAGCGAAAGCGAGUCUGAAUAGGGCGUUUAGUAUUUGGUCGUAGACCCGAAACCAGGUGAUCUACCCUUGGUCAGGUUGAAGUUCAGGUAACACUGAAUGGAGGACCGAACCGACUUACGUUGAAAAGUGAGCGGAUGAACUGAGGGUAGCGGAGAAAUUCCAAUCGAACCUGGAGAUAGCUGGUUCUCUCCGAAAUAGCUUUAGGGCUAGCCUCAAGUGAUGAUUAUUGGAGGUAGAGCACUGUUUGGACGAGGGGCCCCUCUCGGGUUACCGAAUUCAGACAAACUCCGAAUGCCAAUUAAUUUAACUUGGGAGUCAGAACAUGGGUGAUAAGGUCCGUGUUCGAAAGGGAAACAGCCCAGACCACCAGCUAAGGUCCCAAAAUAUAUGUUAAGUGGAAAAGGAUGUGGCGUUGCCCAGACAACUAGGAUGUUGGCUUAGAAGCAGCCAUCAUUUAAAGAGUGCGUAAUAGCUCACUAGUCGAGUGACACUGCGCCGAAAAUGUACCGGGGCUAAACAUAUUACCGAAGCUGUGGAUUGUCCUUUGGACAAUGGUAGGAGAGCGUUCUAAGGGCGUUGAAGCAUGAUCGUAAGGACAUGUGGAGCGCUUAGAAGUGAGAAUGCCGGUGUGAGUAGCGAAAGACGGGUGAGAAUCCCGUCCACCGAUUGACUAAGGUUUCCAGAGGAAGGCUCGUCCGCUCUGGGUUAGUCGGGUCCUAAGCUGAGGCCGACAGGCGUAGGCGAUGGAUAACAGGUUGAUAUUCCUGUACCACCUAUAAUCGUUUUAAUCGAUGGGGGGACGCAGUAGGAUAGGCGAAGCGUGCGAUUGGAUUGCACGUCUAAGCAGUAAGGCUGAGUAUUAGGCAAAUCCGGUACUCGUUAAGGCUGAGC
Molecule: ribosomal RNA, 1458 nt
Filed under: Staphylococcus aureus
Lineage: Bacteria; Bacillati; Bacillota; Bacilli; Caryophanales; Staphylococcaceae
Description: partial 23S ribosomal RNA
Rfam family: Bacterial large subunit ribosomal RNA
Source: RNAcentral